This 1285-nucleotide ribosomal RNA is filed under the name Ramboldia insidiosa. RNAcentral describes it as "partial 18S ribosomal RNA". It matches the Rfam family "Eukaryotic small subunit ribosomal RNA", at positions 132 to 1080 of the family's 1831-position model. The record is from RNAcentral. Lineage: Eukaryota; Fungi; Ascomycota; Lecanoromycetes; Lecanorales; Ramboldiaceae.
UCACUACUUGGAUACCUGUGGUAAUUCUAGAGCUAAUACAUGCUAAAAACCUCGACUUCGGAAGGGGUGUAUUUAUUGGAUAAAAAAUCAAUGCCCUCCGGGGCUCCUUGGUGAUUCAUAAUAACUUAACGAAUCGCAUGGCCUUGCGCCGGCGAUGGUUCAUUCAAAUUUCUGCCCUAUCAACUUUCGAUGUUAGUGUAGUGGACUAACAUGGUUUCUACGGGUAACGGGGAAUUAGGGUUCUAUUCCGGAGAGGGAGCCUGAGAAACGGCUACCACAUCCAAGGAAGGCAGCAGGCGCGCAAAUUACCCAAUCCCGACACGGGGAGGUAGUGACAAUAAAUACUGAUACAGGGCUCUUUUGGGUCUUGUAAUUGGAAUGAGUACAAUUUAAAUCCCUUAGCGAGGAACAAUUGGAGGGCAAGUCUGGUGGGCACUUACAUGUGCUUCAAAGUAGAAUUCAGGUAGUGUUUGUAUAUACCUGCUGCUGACGCCAGUGAAUAAUUAGCCUUGGGCUACCGCUCGAGGUUGAUUCAGUAGGCUUUGGUCUGCAAGGCGCCUGGCACGGGGAAGAGCCAUAGAAGGUUUCAUCCCGUGGUGCAGAGUCUGAAAGCUCUGCUCCUUAACGCGCGCAAGGGUGCCGGCGGACGUUAGUCCGCUUAAGGUACGUGCUAAACCCGCCUGUUAAAGGUUUGUGUCACUCUCUAGGGUGCCACGUAGGGAAAAGGCCGGGCUUGAAACUUCGAGGAUUUAGAAGGUCGGCCCACUUUUUUCUGGCCAGCAGCCGCGGUAAUUCCAGCUCCAAUAGCGUAUAUUAAAGUUGUUGCAGUUAAAAAGCUCGUAGUUGAAACUUGGGCCUGGCUGACCGGUCCGCCUCACCGCGUGCACUGGUUCGGCCGGGCCUUUCCUUCUGGGGAGCCGCAUGGCCUUCACUGGUCGUGUCGGGGAUCCAGGACUUUUACUUUGAAAAAAUUAGAGUGUUCAAAGCAGGCCUAUGCUCGAAUACAUUAGCAUGGAAUAAUAGAAUAGGACGUGUGGUUCUAUUUUGUUGGUUUCUAGGACCGCCGUAAUGAUUAAUAGGGAUAGUCGGGGGCAUCCGUAUUUUCGAGCCAGAGGUGAAAUUCUUGGACUUCGAAAAGACGAACUACUGCGAAAGCAUUUGCCAAGGAUGUUUUCAUUAAUCAGUGAACGAAAGUUAGGGGAUCGAAGACGAUCAGAUACCGUCGUAGUCUUAACCAUAAACUAUGCCGACUGGGGAUCGGACGGUGUUAUUAUUUUGACCCGUU